Small nucleolar RNA from Ictidomys tridecemlineatus (thirteen-lined ground squirrel), 76 nucleotides. The record is from Ensembl. NCBI's taxonomy places the organism in Eukaryota, Metazoa, Chordata, Mammalia, Rodentia, Sciuridae.
UGCUGACCAGUCUUCGCCUCCCUCCCUCCCAGGGGUCCCGGGAGCCAGGGGAGAAGCUGCCGCAGAAGCUGAAGCA